GUCUUUUUGAAAUAAUAAUUCAAAGUCUAAUCUGCCCACUGAUAGUUAUAUUAAAGGGCUGCAGUAUUUUGACUGUACAAAGGUAGCAUAAUCAUUAGUCUCUUAAUUGGUGACUUGUAUGAAUGAUUGGAUGAGAUAUAAGCUGUUUCUUAUUUAUUCAUAAAAUUUAAUUUUUUCAUUAAAAAGUGAAAAUAAAUUUAAAAGACGAGAAGACCCCAUAGAGUUUUAUAUAUGAAAUAAUUUAAUAAUUAUGUUUAAGAAAAUUAAUUAAAAUUAUUUAUUAUAUUUUAUUGGGGUGAUAAAAAAAUUAAGAAAACUUUUUUAUAAUUUUUCCAUAAAUAAGUGAAUAAAUGAUCCAUUAUUAUUGAUUAAAAGAAAAAAUUACCUUGGGGAUAACAGCGUAAUUUUUUCUUUUAGUUCAAAUAGGAGAAAGAGUUUGCGACCUCGAUGUUGGAUUAAGAUAAAAUUUAAAUGCAAAAGUUUAAAAUUUUGAUCUGUUCGAUCAUUAAAAUCUUACAUGAUCUGAGUUCAAACCGGUGUAAGCCAGGUUGGUUUCUAUCUUUAAAUAAAUUAAAUAUUUUAGUACGAAAGGAUUGAAUAUUUAAAAUAAUUUUUAAUUUUAGAAUUUUAUUAAUUUGAUUAUAGAAUUAAAAUUUUUAUUUUAUUAAUAUAU
RNAcentral lists this ribosomal RNA (673 nucleotides) under Zygaena manlia manlia. RNAcentral describes it as "partial 16S ribosomal RNA". The stretch from base 392 to 550 matches the Rfam family "Bacterial large subunit ribosomal RNA", at positions 2473 to 2632 of the family's 2925-position model. Lineage: Eukaryota; Metazoa; Arthropoda; Insecta; Lepidoptera; Zygaenidae. The record is from RNAcentral.